CCCAGUAGCGGCGAGCGAACGGGGAGGAGCCCAGAGCCUGAAUCAGUGUGUGUGUUAGUGGAAGCGUCUGGAAAGGCGCGCGAUACAGGGUGACAGCCCCGUACACAAAAAUGCACAUACUGUGAGCUCGAUGAGUAGGGCGGGACACGUGGUAUCCUGUCUGAAUAUGGGGGGACCAUCCUCCAAGGCUAAAUACUCCUGACUGACCGAUAGUGAACCAGUACCGUGAGGGAAAGGCGAAAAGAACCCCGGCGAGGGGAGUGAAAAAGAACCUGAAACCGUGUACGUACAAGCAGUGGGAGCCUCUUUUAUGGGGUGACUGCGUACCUUUUGUAUAAUGGGUCAGCGACUUAUAUUCUGUAGCAAGGUUAACCGAAUAGGGGAGCCGAAGGGAAACCGAGUCUUAACUGGGCGUUAAGUUGCAGGGUAUAGACCCGAAACCCGGUGAUCUAGCCAUGGGCAGGUUGAAGGUUGGGUAACACUAACUGGAGGACCGAACCGACUAAUGUUGAAAAAUUAGCGGAUGACUUGUGGCUGGGGGUGAAAGGCCAAUCAAACCGGGAGAUAGCUGGUUCUCCCCGAAAGCUAUUUAGGUAGCGCCUCGUGAAUUCAUCUCCGGGGGUAGAGCACUGUUUCGGCAAGGGGGUCAUCCCGACUUACCAACCCGAUGCAAACUGCGAAUACCGGAGAAUGUUAUCACGGGAGACACACGGCGGGUGCUAACGUCCGUCGUGAAGAGGGAAACAACCCAGACCGCCAGCUAAGGUCCCAAAGUCAUGGUUAAGUGGGAAACGAUGUGGGAAGGCCCAGACAGCCAGGAUGUUGGCUUAGAAGCAGCCAUCAUUUAAAGAAAGCGUAAUAGCUCACUGGUCGAGUCGGCCUGCGCGGAAGAUGUAACGGGGCUAAACCAUGCAC
This 915-nucleotide ribosomal RNA is filed under the name Escherichia coli. RNAcentral describes it as "partial 23S ribosomal RNA". It matches the Rfam family "Bacterial large subunit ribosomal RNA", at positions 239 to 1194 of the family's 2925-position model. Lineage: Bacteria; Pseudomonadati; Pseudomonadota; Gammaproteobacteria; Enterobacterales; Enterobacteriaceae. The record is from RNAcentral.